AGGGAAUAGUUGCUGUGCUGUA
RNAcentral lists this microRNA (22 nucleotides) under Drosophila melanogaster (fruit fly). Its description in RNAcentral is "dme-miR-6-1-5p". Its record names the gene dme-miR-6-1-5p. Lineage: Eukaryota; Metazoa; Arthropoda; Insecta; Diptera; Drosophilidae. RNAcentral also lists the same sequence under 2 other names. The record is from miRBase by way of RNAcentral.